GCCCCCGUCUCAGCCUGAAGGCGCCCGAUCUCGUCUGAUCUCGGAAGCUAAGCAGGGUCGGGCCUGGUUAGUAUCUUGGAUGGGAGACCACCUGGGAAUCCCGGGUGCUCGAGGCU
RNAcentral lists this ribosomal RNA (116 nucleotides) under Bison bison bison. Lineage: Eukaryota; Metazoa; Chordata; Mammalia; Artiodactyla; Bovidae. The record is from RNAcentral.